Molecule: long non-coding RNA, 892 nt
Organism: Caretta caretta (loggerhead turtle)
Lineage: Eukaryota; Metazoa; Chordata; Testudines; Cheloniidae
Source: RefSeq, a predicted model, not a curated record
GUUUCCACAGAACAACAAAAGUGGACAAGCUUAGAAUCAUGCAAGGGAAACUUAGACAUAAUAUUUUAUAAGGGGCAACUACCCCAGCCCUGUGCGUGGACUCCGUCAAUGGACUCUCACGCAACAGGGAUGCGGACUUUGGGGACGAGGAAGAUGAUGAUGAGGAGGAGGUUGAAGCACAGCAAGCAAGCGGAGAUUCCCCAACAGCCAGGAACUGUUUUUCACCCUGGAUCUAGUACCCUCCCAACCCACUGAAGGAAGGCUCGCAGAUCUAGAAGGUGGAGAAUGGACCUCUGCUGCACAUGUUUCAUCGCUCCACGUAUCAUCUCCAUCCCAGAGGCUAUCAAAGAUUAGAAGCCAAAAAAAAUGCACUUGCGAUUAAACGUUCUCUGAACUCAUGCAGUCCACCCAUGCUGAAAGAGCCCAGCACAAUGCAUGAAGGGAGACAAUGUCAGAGUCCAGGAAAGCACAAAAUGAAUGCGAGGACAGGAGGGAUGAGCAACAGGCCAGGAGGGAUGAGUGAGAGGAGAGGUGGCGCCAGCGUGAUGAGAGGAGGCAGGAUGCAAUGCUGAGGCUAUUGGAUGAUCAAAGUGAUAUGCUCUGGCAUAUGGUGGUGCUGCAGGAAAGGCAGCAGGAGCACAGACCACAGCUGAAGCCCCUGUGUAACAACCACCCUCCUCCCCAGGUUCCAUAGCCUCCUCACCCAGACACCCAAGAACGCAGUGAGGGCAGGCCUUCGGGCACCCAACCACUCCACCCCAGAGGACUGUCCAAGCAACAGAAAGCUGGUGUUCAAUAAGUUUUAGAGUGCAGUUUGGCCUUGUCCUUCCCUACCCCACCCUCCAGGUGCUUCCCUCCUCCCACACCCCUCACAGGCUACCUUGGCAGUUCU